This is a long non-coding RNA of Dipodomys spectabilis (banner-tailed kangaroo rat), 583 nucleotides long. RefSeq lists it as uncharacterized. NCBI's taxonomy places the organism in Eukaryota, Metazoa, Chordata, Mammalia, Rodentia, Heteromyidae. The transcript is spliced from 4 exons. The record is from RefSeq and is a predicted model, not a curated record.
GAAGGAACUAGACUUAACCUGACACAUGAUUUGGCAGGCCUCAAUCACAAGUGCUCUGAUACUGGCUUGCAGAAACCCAUUUUUGGAUUUGGCUUUGACUUUCAAAUGUUGUCCAGGGCAAGCAGGAAAGUACCUCUGGCUGGGCCCUGGGUGAGGUGCCACGCUGUGGAAAACACAGGAUCACCACAGGAAUCCGUCAUGAGGAAGGUGUUCUACAUGCUACAAAGGACUGAAGGACAGUGACCUCAAGUGAGCUGGAAUUCUACCACUUGAGCCAUACCUCCUUUGUGAUGAUUAACUGGAAGUAUUUGUCUGUCUGAGCUGACUUUGAGCCUCUAUCCUCAGAUCACAGCAUCUUGCAUAGCUCAGAUUACAGGUUUGGGUGUCAUCUUCAGCAAAAAGGUUGAUGGUGGCUCACUCCUACACCAAAGGAAUGUGAAGAAAAAAAGAGAAUCCCUGCAACCAAGAUGAGCUGGUUAUCUGCUCACAUUGCACUUGCCCACAGUAAGCCGCAUGAUCACAGCUAGAUACAAAGGAGUCUGGGAAAUGUAGUGUGGUUGAAAAAGCAAUGAUCUAAUGGAAA